AACCGAUAAAGGCAAACCUGCCGAAAGGUAGGGACGCAAAGCCACGGGUCUAAGGCGAUCACCAAGAUCGCGACGAUAGCCGGGUUGCCGAU
This 92-nucleotide non-coding RNA is filed under the name Clostridiaceae bacterium. Its description in RNAcentral is "c-di-GMP sequence". It matches the Rfam family "c-di-GMP-I riboswitch aptamer". From Rfam's summary of the family: GEMM was predicted in a large-scale screen for bacterial structured RNA regulatory elements. Genes associated with GEMM are involved in a diverse array of functions, including chemotaxis regulation, signal transduction, secretion and chitin. The record is from RNAcentral. Lineage: Bacteria; Bacillati; Bacillota; Clostridia; Eubacteriales; Clostridiaceae.